RNAcentral lists this transfer RNA (73 nucleotides) under Treponema sp. RNAcentral describes it as "tRNA-Thr". It matches the Rfam family "tRNA". Rfam says of the family: Transfer RNA (tRNA) molecules are approximately 80 nucleotides in length. The record is from RNAcentral. Lineage: Bacteria; Pseudomonadati; Spirochaetota; Spirochaetia; Treponematales; Treponemataceae.
GCCGCCUUAGCUCAGUUGGUAGAGCACUUGACUUGUAAUCAUGAGGUCUCCGGUUCGAAUCCGGGAGGCGGCU